Molecule: ribosomal RNA, 475 nt
Filed under: uncultured bacterium
Lineage: Bacteria
Description: bacterial SSU rRNA
Rfam family: Bacterial small subunit ribosomal RNA
Source: RNAcentral
CGCUGGCGGCGUGCCUAACACAUGCAAGUCGAACGGAACUUUUUUAAAGAUUUCUUCGGAAUGAAUUUGAUUAAGUUUAGUGGCGGACGGGUGAGUAACGCGUGAGUAACCUGCCUCUAAGAGGGGAAUAACAUUCUGAAAAGAAUGCUAAUACCGCAUAACAUAUAUUUAUCGCAUGGUAGAUAUAUCAAAGAUUUAUCGCUUAGAGAUGGACUCGCGUCCGAUUAGUUAGUUGGUGAGGUAACGGCUCACCAAGACCGCGAUCGGUAGCCGGACUGAGAGGUUGAACGGCCACAUUGGGACUGAGACACGGCCCAGACUCCUACGGGAGGCAGCAGUGGGGGAUAUUGCGCAAUGGGGAAACCCUGACGCAGCAACGCCGCGUGAAGGAUGAAGGUCUUCGGAUUGUAAACUUCUUUUAUUAAGGACGAAGAAAGUGACGGUACUUAAUGAAUAAGCUCCGGCUAACUACGUG